This 301-nucleotide ribosomal RNA is filed under the name uncultured bacterium. Its description in RNAcentral is "partial 16S ribosomal RNA". It matches the Rfam family "Bacterial small subunit ribosomal RNA", at positions 509 to 807 of the family's 1533-position model. The record is from RNAcentral.
CAGCAGCCGCGGGAAUACGUAGGUGGCAAGCGUUGUCCGGAAUUAUUGGGCGUAAAGGGCUCGCAGGCGGUUUCUUAAGUCUGAUGUGAAAGCCCCCGGCUCAACCGGGGAGGGUCAUUGGAAACUGGGAAACUUGAGUGCAGAAGAGGAGAGUGGAAUUCCACGUGUAGCGGUGAAAUGCGUAGAGAUGUGGAGGAACACCAGUGGCGAAGGCGACUCUCUGGUCUGUAGCUGACGCUGAGGAGCGAAAGCGUGGGGAGCGAACAGGAUUAGAUACCCGGGUAGUCCCUGUCUCUUAUAC